Molecule: ribosomal RNA, 713 nt
Filed under: Acarospora strigata
Lineage: Eukaryota; Fungi; Ascomycota; Lecanoromycetes; Acarosporales; Acarosporaceae
Description: partial large subunit ribosomal RNA
Rfam family: Eukaryotic large subunit ribosomal RNA
Source: RNAcentral
AUUUGCAGAGGAUGCUUCGGGUUCGGCUCCGGUCUAAGUUCCUUGGAACAGGACGUCAUAGAGGGUGAGAAUCCCGUAUGUGACUGGACACCACGCCCGUGUGAAGCUCCUUCGACGAGUCGAGUUGUUUGGGAAUGCAGCUCAAAAUGGGUGGUAAAUUUCAUCUAAAGCUAAAUAUUGGCCAGAGACCGAUAGCGCACAAGUAGAGUGAUCGAAAGAUGAAAAGCACUUUGGAAAGAGAGUCAAACAGUACGUGAAAUUGUUGAAAGGGAAGCGCUUGCAACCAGACUUGCCCGCGGGUGAUCAGCCGGUAUUUUUACCGGUGCACUCGCCCGUGGUCAGGCCAGCAUCGGUUUGGGUGGCUGGAUAAAGUCCACUGGAAUGUAGCUCCUCUCGGGGAGUGUUAUAGCCGGAGGUGCCAUGCAGCCCGCCCGGACCGAGGACCGCGCUUCGGCUAGGAUGCUGGCGUAAUGGUUGUAAGCGACCCGUCUUGAAACACGGACCAAGGAGUCUAACAUCUAUGCGAGUGUUUGGGUGUCAAACCCAUGCGCGUAAUGAAAGUGAACGGAGGUGGGAACCCUCAAGGGUGCACCAUCGACCGAUCCUGAUGUCUUCGGAUGGAUUUGAGUAAGAGCAUAGCUGUUGGGACCCGAAAGAUGGUGAACUAUGCCUGAAUAGGGUGAAGCCAGAGGAAACUCUGGUGGAGGCUCGCA